UACGGAGGGUGCAAGCGUUAUCCGGAUUCACUGGGUUUAAAGGGUGCGUAGGUGGGUUGAUAAGUCAGUGGUGAAAUCUCCGAGCUUAACUUGGAAACUGCCAUUGAUACUAUUAGUCUUGAAUACCGUGGAGGUUAGUGGAAUAUGUCAUGUAGCGGUGAAAUGCUUAGAUAUGACAUAGAACACCCAUUGCGAAGGCAGCUGGCUACACAUAUAUUGACACUGAGGCACGAAAGCGUGGGGAUCAAACAGG
This 253-nucleotide ribosomal RNA is filed under the name uncultured bacterium. RNAcentral describes it as "partial 16S ribosomal RNA". It matches the Rfam family "Bacterial small subunit ribosomal RNA", at positions 524 to 776 of the family's 1533-position model. The record is from RNAcentral.